Molecule: unclassified non-coding RNA, 1566 nt
Filed under: Homo sapiens (human)
Lineage: Eukaryota; Metazoa; Chordata; Mammalia; Primates; Hominidae
Description: BCL2-like 12 (proline rich), transcript variant 30
Source: RNAcentral
AUGGGACGGCCCGCUGGGCUGUUCCCGCCCCUAUGCCCUUUUUUGGGUUUCCGGCCAGAGGCAUGCUGGGAGCGUCACAUGCAAAUUGAGCGUGCACCCAGCGUUCCGCCCUUUCUACGCUGGGCCGGUUAUCGACCCGGCCCAGUGCGCAGGCGCGGGAAAGUUGAACUAAUAAAGUUUGUACGAGUUCAGUGGAGGAGACCGCAAGUUGAGUGGAGGAGGCGGCGGUGGGGCCCCGGACCAGGUCAGCGGGGUGUUGACGAGGGGUGGGGUGAGGAGGGAAGAGGAGGGGGCCGGGAUCCAGUGGUGGGCACCCCAGUCCCGCUUCUCUGAUAUCCAAGGGUCCAGGGUCCUCUAGAUUCCAGCAGGGGUCGGAGAUUUGGAACUACACCUCACAGCAGGCUGCGCGGCGAAGAAGCGCGGACCUAGGGGAAGAUUUGCCCUGAAACCUCUUGGGAUUGGUAGUUCCCGAUGCUUUAAGGGUUUCAGGAGUUUGGCAUAUGCCUCUUAUAGAAUCCAGGAGUUGGGGCGCUAAGCCUCUUCUUCCUGGGAGACCUAAGGGUCUGGGGCUCCAGUUCCUUUUUCUCUAAGACUCAGAAGUCCAGGACCCCAGCUCCCUCCUCCUUUAGACCCACGAAUCUGGGCACCCAGCCCCACCACCUUUCCUUGGAUCGAAGAGUCUUUUUCCUGAUCGCUUUUUCGUCUGAGGACUCAAGAGUCUAGGCCCCCAGACCCACACUCUCCAAAGGACCCAGGAGUCCAGGCCCUCAGCACCUUCCUUGGGACUCACAAGUCCUGGUCCCCAAGCCUCCACUUCUUGCUAAACCCUUGGAGUCCAGUCCCUAACCCUCUCUCUCACAGGUGCCUCCAUGGCAGGCUCUGAAGAGCUGGGGCUCCGGGAAGACACGCUGAGGGUCCUAGCUGCCUUCCUUAGGCGUGGUGAGGCUGCCGGGUCUCCUGUUCCAACUCCACCUAGAAGCCCUGCCCAAGAAGAGCCAACAGACUUCCUGAGCCGCCUUCGAAGAUGUCUUCCCUGCUCCCUGGGGCGAGGAGCAGCCCCCUCUGAGUCCCCUCGGCCUUGCUCUCUGCCCAUCCGCCCCUGCUAUGGUUUAGAGCCUGGUAAGAGAUUUCCAUGAUCAUCUAUGAAGCCGGCAGAACACGGGAUAAGGCCCAGCUACUCCAGACUUCUAUGCUUUGGUGGCCCAGCGGCUGGAACAGCUGGUCCAAGAGCAGCUGAAAUCUCCGCCCAGCCCAGAAUUACAGGGUCCCCCAUCGACAGAGAAGGAAGCCAUACUGCGGAGGCUGGUGGCCCUGCUGGAGGAGGAGGCAGAAGUCAUUAACCAGAAGGAGGGCAUCCUGGCUGUUUCACCCGUGGACUUGAACUUGCCAUUGGACUGAGCUCUUUCUCAGAAGCUGCUACAAGAUGACACCUCAUGUCCCUGCCCUCUUCGUGUGCUUUUCCAAGUCUUCCUAUUCCACUCAGGGCUGUGGGGUGGUGGUUGCCCUACCUGUUUUUGCCAAAAAUAAAUUGUUUAAAACUUUUCUUAUUAAAAACGUUACAAAGUA